This 78-nucleotide transfer RNA is filed under the name Planctomycetota bacterium. RNAcentral describes it as "Planctomycetes bacterium (activated sludge metagenome) tRNA-OTHER". The record is from RNAcentral. Lineage: Bacteria; Pseudomonadati; Planctomycetota.
CCUCGCGUAUCGGCCCGGUCUUAUAAGCCGUUGAAACCGUAGUGGUUCACGCUGGUUCGAAUCCAGCCGCGAGGACCA